AUGUGGGGACAGAUGAUGGUCCUCAAUGAACACGAAGCCCCUGCACCGAGGCCGAUCCCUUGGAACGCGGAGGCUCCUCGUGCCUACUUAUUUGCCCGGGCUUCUAAGACCCACACGAAAAGGAGCCCAAGGCGGGGCACCUUCUGCUAUUCAAGUGGGUGUCUGUGGCCUAACGUAGACGGUGCAAGUUUCUUGUCUUGAGACUUUAUUAGCUUUCCGUGUAAACCAAGGAAUAUCAGCCUCUUUUCUCCACUAAUUUUCCUACUAUACUAUUCUUUCCUAAUCUCUCUGUAUAUUUCUAAAUAAAUAAGUUUUUCCUCGCUG
This 324-nucleotide long non-coding RNA is filed under the name Capra hircus (goat). Its description in RNAcentral is "lncRNA (ENSCHIG00000002085.1)". The record is from RNAcentral. Lineage: Eukaryota; Metazoa; Chordata; Mammalia; Artiodactyla; Bovidae.